This 507-nucleotide ribosomal RNA is filed under the name Xanthomonas citri pv. citri. Its description in RNAcentral is "partial 23S ribosomal RNA". It matches the Rfam family "Bacterial large subunit ribosomal RNA", at positions 1785 to 2291 of the family's 2925-position model. The record is from RNAcentral. Lineage: Bacteria; Pseudomonadati; Pseudomonadota; Gammaproteobacteria; Lysobacterales; Lysobacteraceae.
AAUAGGCCCAGGCGACUGUUUAGCAAAAACACAGGUCUCUGCGAAGCCGUAAGGCGAAGUAUAGGGGCUGACGCCUGCCCGGUGCUGGAAGGUUAAGAGGAGCGCUUAGCGUAAGCGAAGGUGCGAAUUGAAGCCCCAGUAAACGGCGGCCGUAACUAUAACGGUCCUAAGGUAGCGAAAUUCCUUGUCGGGUAAGUUCCGACCCGCACGAAAGGCGCAACGAUCUGGGCACUGUCUCAACGAGAGACUCGGUGAAAUUAUAGUACCUGUGAAGAUGCAGGUUACCCGCGACAGGACGGAAAGACCCCGUGGAGCUUUACUGCAGCCUGAUAUUGAAUGUUGGUACAGCUUGUACAGGAUAGGUAGGAGCCUUGGAAACCGGAGCGCCAGCUUUGGUGGAGGCAUCGGUGGGAUACUACCCUGGCUGUAUUGACCUUCUAACCCGCCGCCCUUAUCGGGCGGGGAGACAGUGUCAGGUGGGCAGUUUGACUGGGGCGGUCGCCUCCU